RNAcentral lists this unclassified non-coding RNA (250 nucleotides) under plant metagenome. RNAcentral's name for it is "partial contains small subunit ribosomal RNA, internal transcribed spacer 1, and 5.8S ribosomal RNA". The record is from RNAcentral.
GUAGGUGAACCUGCGGAAGGAUCAUUAACAAUCAUCCAACACACUCGUCUUGGCCGUCCGUCUCCCCUCUUUCUCGUGUCUUUGUUGUAUACGGGAAAGGGAGGGGGAAGGUACGUGCCUAAUGACAAACACACAAACAUUCAACCUUUUGACAACUAAUGGAGAACCAUACAUGCAAAAUAUGUUUUUGUAUAUAUACAAACAAAAAACAACUUUUAACAAUGGAUCUCUCGGCUCUUGCAUCGAUGAA